UCCUGCGUGGGCUCAUGAAGAGCUACUUUGGU
RNAcentral lists this non-coding RNA (32 nucleotides) under Homo sapiens (human). The record is from RNAcentral. Lineage: Eukaryota; Metazoa; Chordata; Mammalia; Primates; Hominidae.